GAUGAACGCUGGCGGCGUGCCUAAUACAUGCAAGUCGAGCGAACAGACGAGGAGCUUGCUCCUCUGACGUUAGCGGCGGACGGGUGAGUAACACGUGGAUAACCUACCUAUAAGACUGGGAUAACUUCGGGAAACCGGAGCUAAUACCGGAUAAUAUAUUGAACCGCAUGGUUCAAUAGUGAAAGACGGUUUUGCUGUCACUUUUAGAUGGAUCCGCGCCGCAUUAGCUAGUUGGUAAGGUAACGGCUUACCAAGGCGACGAUGCGUAGCCGACCUGAGAGGGUGAUCGGCCACACUGGAACUGAGCCACGGUCCAGACUCCUACGGGAGGCAGCAGUAGGGAAUCUUCCGCAAUGGGCGAAAGCCUGACGGAGCAACGCCGCGUGAGUGAUGAAGGUCUUCGGAUCGUAAAACUCUGUUAUUAGGGAAGAACAAAUGUGCAAGUAACUAUGCACGUCUUGACGGUACCUAAUCAGAAAGCCACGGCUAACUACGUG
RNAcentral lists this ribosomal RNA (497 nucleotides) under uncultured bacterium. Its description in RNAcentral is "partial 16S ribosomal RNA". It matches the Rfam family "Bacterial small subunit ribosomal RNA", at positions 28 to 507 of the family's 1533-position model. The record is from RNAcentral.